CUGCCCGGGCGGCCGGCCUGCCUGGAGGUCACAUGGGGGCCAGCCAGCUGGCCCUUCCCAGAAAGUGUGCCCGGCUGCCCCACCAAGCCCCCCCACCCGAGUGUGUGGCAGGCGGGGGGUCCACCCUCCAAGCCACAAGUGCAGUUUCUACUGGAAUGUUCCAGAUCAGCAGUGCUCUGCCGACAGGGGUCGGUCCCUGCACCUGCAGCCGCCACCUCCUUUCAAACCCGCGGUGGGUUUCACGGACACACCGUGCCAAGUGCCCUCCAAUUUGCCUCCCUGGCCGACGUGCCCCCCGGCCCCAUGGGACAAGCACUCAGACAGCGGCUUGUGGGACUGGGCUGAGCAGUGCUGCCCCUCGGGCUACAAUUUAAAAUGUAGGAGAGAAUUGGAAACUGUGUGCUUUUUGAAAAUGAAACAAUCGUGUUCCUGGACCCUCGGGGCUCAUGGCAGAGUCUCGGUCUGCCUGGUGAACCUGCUCCCAACCAGUCCCGCAGCAGAGAGCGCUGCGGAAUGAGAAGGACCACCGCAGCGCCCACCUUUCCACGGAGCUUCUUGAGUCCCUGAAAGGCACCUCGCAGCAGGCUGUGACCUUCAGGGCCUCUUGGGGCUUUAAGAAAGCUGUUUAAGAGAAAAGGCAGAAAGACUGGAGCCAUUGUCAAGUGCAGAGUCUGGGUUCCAGGCGGACGAGAGGAGCCCGGGCACGGGGGCCAGGCCAGCCGGCAGUGCCGUGGACGCCGACGACCUCCAGGAAAGGCAGCGGCCCUCCCGGUGCACGAGCCUCUGCCUCGCCUGCUUCUGUGCUAGGAAGACACGGGAAAGGUUUGGGGACAGGCCUUUCCGCACUUACAAUCACAAACAUGGGACUUGAAAACGCACCAAAUCCGAGCUGGCAGCGAGGUGGAAGGCCCAUGUUUUGAAAAUGUCUGGGCGGCUCCCAAGUUUCCACCCUGUCCAGGGCUCCCAGUCGGACUUUGUCGGGAGCCGUCAAUGCAGAGCCCCAGUCCUCCUGUGACCGGAGCUCCCGGUGUGCCCUCGGCCAGGGCGACCCAAGGAGCCACCCUGCGCCCCCAUACCCUGUGGCCGGCCCUACAUGCAUACACCUCUUCCCGCACCAUUUCGGGGGGCCCAAGGAAGCACUGAAGGUUCAGGGUCUUCCUGUGCUCCAAACCCAGCCUCCUGCUCUGAGGGUGGGGGUUCUAGGCCGGCCCUCGGGGCCCAUGUCCCAGGAACCAGGUUUGAUGCACUGAUGCUGCUGUCAUGAAAUUCUGAAUUUUUGAAGGAGUUUGCAUCUUCUCUCUGCCCCGGGGCCCACACAUCAAAACGUGUUUUCUGCCCUCCAGUCCCCACUCUACUGCACACAUGUGCACACAUGCACACACGCACUCCCGCAUGCACGCUUGCAGGCACAAACCCUAAAGACAACUGCUCGGCUCGCUGGGCGGAGGCGGGGCCGUGGCGAGUUGAGAGGGCUCCACACGUGCCUGUCUGCCACCCGCCACCUCCGGUCGGGACUCUCUCUUGGGGGGCGCGUGGGACGGAGGGGCAGGUCGGCCCCUCACACAGCUGAUGGGCCGCUGGCAGAAAGUCCCGGACACAGGGACAGUGCUUUCACCCCCAACCAAAGGGCCACCUGUCUCCUGGAGCAGGAAGUCGCCCUGCGGAGGGCGGGCCGCCGCCCAGGAGGGUGGGAGCCACGACGAGUGGACUUAAAAGGAGAAACAAAAGCCUCACAUUGGGAGAAUGACGUCUUUUGACACCAUGGACACGGAGAGCAGUUUCGAUAGUGCUAAAGGAACACACCGCCCUAACCACCGUGGGGACAGUGCGGCCUACGCCCGCCGCCGUACGGUUCACAGAGAGGCCUGACAACCCAAGUCGCCACAACCAAGUUGUUCUCCACGCAGAUGGACUACAGCUUUGUCGACCACGAAUUCCAACAGACUCACAAGGGCUGAAAGAAAACAGGGCUGCUGCCGAAAACUCACAGGACGCGACAACCGAAUUACGGCUCAGAACCUCCGGGGCUGGAAUGAGACAAGGACAGGGCGGGCGGCCCCGCAGAGUCCCCUGGUGCUGCAGGGACCGGCAGUGUGCACGGUGACGGACGGGUCAGCCCCGCGUCACCGCGACGGAGGCCGAGGAGCAGGCUCCGCUGUCACAUGUGCUAUGUGGACGCGGGACCUAUGGACAGCUGCGCCAAAGGGUUGGAGCCGCGCACGUCCUGCAGGGUCACGCAGAGGCGCCCGCCCCUUCUGUGACAAACUCAAGGGCGCGGCCACCAGCCGCACCUCUGCCAGGCGACUCCCCAGCUCCGGGGCAGUGGGACUAGCGGCGUUUCGAGUCCACUCAGUCCCAAGGUUUCACCUGCGUCCCCACGACCAUUAGGAUCACAGAUGCCCCGCCAAGAGCGCUGGGGCCUCGGGGCCUACGGAAGGAUUCUCGCCUCUGCGCUGCAGAGCCCGGGCUUCAACGGCAAGGUCACCCCCAAAGGCGGCCCCCACAAGCUGACACAAGAAGGAAGCACAUCUAUCUUUUAAAAGGAGUCGAAUUUUUUGAAAACCACAGCCGACUGGCUGGGAGGAAGGAUGCGAGGCGCGAAGCUGAGAGCUGUGGGACCGUGAGAACAGGGCCCUGGGCCCGGCUGCGCGUGCAGGCUGUGCUGGCCCAGGCGCCGGCUCUUCCCGCCUCCCCGAAUCCUUCCUCUCUCAAAACGGCGAUUUCUCCACAGGCCUCCUGCUCUGUCCCUCUGUGACUGAGGCCUGUGGAAAGGCGGUGGCUAGGAGAGCCUGUGAAUUCCCACGCCUCUGCAAAGCAUGGGCGGAGCCUCACGGUGAGCGUGGCAGCUGCAACAGAGCUGGUUUCCACCCGACGCGAGGGGGGCAUGGGAAAGAAGGUCGUCACGGGACCCCCACGGGAUCCGAUGAACAGCAAUCAAUCAACCAUUGAUCCGUCCAGAAGAAGCACGGUCAGUGCUUCCCCCCUUCUCUGAGUCACUGUGUCUGCACGAGUCACUCCUUCGGUAACUCGUCUGGGCACUGCGCUGGCCCCCCACUUAGCACCCUGAACGGGGGUUACCGGGGAGCCUCACACUGAUCCUAAGGGACAGAGCUGGAGGCUAACAGUGUGCUAGACUCUUUACCAAAAAUGCUGAUAAAAAUAACGCCCCAAUAAAAGAACAUAGUCAAGGCUGA
Molecule: long non-coding RNA, 3194 nt
Organism: Artibeus jamaicensis (Jamaican fruit-eating bat)
Lineage: Eukaryota; Metazoa; Chordata; Mammalia; Chiroptera; Phyllostomidae
Exons: 2
Source: RefSeq, a predicted model, not a curated record